ACAACUAGUUUACUCAGCAAAAGUACCUCAUGUUGAUAUUCUUCAAUAAAGCAAUUUAAACACUUGAUAUAUCAUUUUUCCAUGUCAUCCAAAGUCAACAUGCAUUUCAACCAUAUCAAAGUUUCCUGAAUCCUAUAGGUUGAUAUUUAUGAUGAAAAAUAGCAUCCAAAUGACAACUUGUAAUUUUGUGUGCUGAGCUUAUGAUCAUGUAAUUUAUCAAUAACAAAUUGUAUUCACCCCUCAUGAACCCUAGGAAAAAACAUGAUACAAAAAGAACUGGAAAAUGCUUAGAACUUAUCCAGGAAAAAUGAGAAAUUUCAAAGAGAAAAGAAAACUUACACUCUUCUGCAGCUUCAGUUUAAAUAAAAUGGAGUAAAAAUAUCCAAGUUUCAUGAGAGAAUCAAAAUCAAAUAAAAUCAAAUUUUGAUCCAGGGGAAGAAGAAUGGAUUGACAAAAAAAUUUGGACCAUUUCUCGAUUUGUGCGUGUCAUCCUUGCGCAGGGGCCAUGCUAAUCUUCUCUGUAUCGUUCCAAUUUUAUCGGAUGUCCCCGAAGGGACAAUCUCUACUGCUAGGUGGUUCAUUAUAAACACUUGUAUUGUUGCAAGUUUAACCGAUGUGGGACUUGAGACAGCCUGCGAUGCUCAAAAAAGACCGAAAUAACACAAGUCUGCUCAGCCUCAAUAGACAGCAUGCGAGCAUGCAUCCAAGCUCUUUCGUGUUUUGUGGGAAUGCUAGAAAGAACAACGGUGAAGUGAGGAAGACAUAGAUAUUCUCAAAAUGUUUUGGUUUGCUUUAUCAAAAUUAUAGUUUUAGGACCAAAGAAUACGUGGAGCCUUGGAAAACAGCAACGUUUCAACUUUUCCUUGGUGAAUGAUCAACAUCGAUCUCCCACUCCCCCAAAGGACAGAGCUGGGAGAGUCUCUAGCCUCUUUGAUUACACAAUACUACAUAAAUCUAUCUACUGCCUCUAAUUUCCCAACCUUCUAAUUGGCCCUCAUCCUACUAUUAAGAACUCUACUUUUUGAGUUGGGCUUUUUCUGCAAUGCUUUUAGUCCUAUUGUUGUGAGCUUUUCUUUUUGUAACCCGCACCUCAUUAUUCGGUGGAGUAGUUCAAUCCAGUUCAAAACUUUUACCUUUUUGAGUCAUUUAUAUAAGAUUUCAAGAACUUCGGAAUCAAAUACAUGGCAACAUUGAAUUUGGAUGAAUUUCUCCAACGUUUUGCAAUGCCAUGAAGGGCAUAGUGACAUCAUGUUACACAACAAAAGUCACAACAACCAGAUUAUCACAUGAAAGUCCCACACUGCUAGCACCGAACUAUAUCCUAAGGUUUAUAUACUGACACGGUGAUAUAACUGAUCACGACCUUGCUUGAACAGGAUCUGUUCUAUAGGCUCGUACAACUGUAUCCUUGAGUUCUAAGGAGACAAGAACCAAAGUCUGGUUGAUGAACCAUGACCGUGUGAUCAGAGCGUGAUUAACAGUCCACUGGUUAGCCUUUGGGUUCACCAAUUGGAGGGUAGAGGAUCGUUCUCAGCUAGUAUCCACUGGCUGGGGUGGUCACACGGUUGUCUGACAAACCCAAAUCUUUUCCAUUUAUUUAGAAAAAAAACGGUUGUCUGACAGACCCAAAUCUUUUCCAUUUAUUUAGAAAAAAAAGGAAGAAAAGCACAUCUGUUGAAAAAAUAUGAUGCAACAGAAAAAGGUAAGCAAAUAAGAUUAUAAGAGAGCCAAAACAAAAACAAAAAUUUAUUUGCCCACAUUUGCGCCUUCAACUUGGGAUUUGAUAGAGUGCUCUUUGUUUCCAAGCAACUCAGCAGUGAAAGGCACACCCAAAUAAAUUUCUUUCCUAGUUCUUUUGCAGCAUGAGUUUGCAUAUAUGUAGCCAAUGGUAUUUAACAAACCAAACCCAAAAGUACUAUAAUGACAAGUUGACAACUAGUUUACUCAGCAAAAGUACCUCAUGUUGAUAUUCUUCAAUAAAGAAAUUUAAACACUUUAUAUAUCAUUUUUCCAUGUCAUCCAAAGUCAACAUGCAUUUUAACCAUAUCAAAGUUUCCUGAAUCCUAUAGGUUGAUAUUUAUGAUGAAAAAUAGCAUCCAAAUGACAACUUGUAAUUUUGUGUGCUGAGCUUAUGAUCAUGUAAUUUAUCAAUAAAAAACUGUAUUCACC
RNAcentral lists this long non-coding RNA (2169 nucleotides) under Lotus japonicus. RNAcentral describes it as "long non-coding RNA (LJAP_LNC001214)". The stretch from base 1359 to 1579 matches the Rfam family "Plant small nucleolar RNA U3". Lineage: Eukaryota; Viridiplantae; Streptophyta; Magnoliopsida; Fabales; Fabaceae. The record is from RNAcentral.